UCCGAUAUAGUGUACGGCCUAUCACAUCACGCUUUCACCGUGGAGACCGGGGUUCGACUCCCCGUAUCGGAG
RNAcentral lists this transfer RNA (72 nucleotides) under Kluyveromyces lactis. Its description in RNAcentral is "partial transfer RNA". It matches the Rfam family "tRNA". From Rfam's summary of the family: Transfer RNA (tRNA) molecules are approximately 80 nucleotides in length. Their secondary structure includes four short double-helical elements and three loops (D, anti-codon, and T loops). The record is from RNAcentral. Lineage: Eukaryota; Fungi; Ascomycota; Saccharomycetes; Saccharomycetales; Saccharomycetaceae.